This 332-nucleotide unclassified non-coding RNA is filed under the name soil metagenome. RNAcentral's name for it is "partial contains 5.8S ribosomal RNA, internal transcribed spacer 2, and large subunit ribosomal RNA". The stretch from base 1 to 120 matches the Rfam family "5.8S ribosomal RNA", at positions 35 to 154 of the family's 154-position model. The record is from RNAcentral.
GAUGAAGAACGUAGCGAAAUGCGAUACGUAAUGUGAAUUGCAGAUUUCAGUGAAUCAUCGAAUCUUUGAACGCACAUUGCGCCCGCUAGUAUUCUGGCGGGCAUGCCUGUUCGAGCGUCAUUUCAACCAUCAAGCCCUAGGCUUGCGUUGGAGCCCUGCGGCUGCCGCAGGCUCCCAAAUCCAGUGGCGGGCUCGUCGUCGUACCGAGUGCAGUAAACAUCCUCGCUCAGGGAACGUGACGGGUUCUUGCCGUGAAACCCCCCACAUAACAAGGUUGACCUCGGAUCAGGUAGGAAUACCCGCUGAACUUAAGCAUAUCAAUAAGCGGAGGA